UACGAAGGGGGCUAGCGUUGCUCGGAAUCACUGGGCGUAAAGGGUGCGUAGGCGGGUCUUUAAGUCAGGGGUGAAAUCCUGGAGCUCAACUCCAGAACUGCCUUUGAUACUGAAGAUCUUGAGUUCGGGAGAGGUGAGUGGAGCUGCGAGUGUAGAGGUGAAAUUCGUAGAUAUUCGCAAGAACACCAGUGGCGAAGGCGGCGCACUGGCCCGAUACUGACGCUGAGGCACGAAAGCGUGGGGAGCAAACAGG
RNAcentral lists this ribosomal RNA (253 nucleotides) under uncultured bacterium. RNAcentral's name for it is "partial 16S ribosomal RNA". It matches the Rfam family "Bacterial small subunit ribosomal RNA", at positions 524 to 776 of the family's 1533-position model. The record is from RNAcentral.